This 4975-nucleotide long non-coding RNA is filed under the name Sus scrofa (pig). RNAcentral describes it as "lncRNA (ENSSSCG00000059818.1)". The record is from RNAcentral. Lineage: Eukaryota; Metazoa; Chordata; Mammalia; Artiodactyla; Suidae.
CCUCCGUGCUUCCAUAGGAAAUUCCAUAAAUGGAUAACUUACCUACCUUUUCAAUCUACACUCUUGGAUGAUUAUGGAUAAUAUUUUGAACAUAAGUUGUUAUUGUUUUAUUCCUUUAAUAUUAGUCAGAAAGGCUGAGAGCAAAGAUUUGGGGUGAUACACAAGAAGAAAGGGGGAGUAAGAGAUAAUCAAAGUGGCUCAGCCACUUCCUACCUAUAUGACUUUGGACAAAGUGUAUCUUUCUCUUCUGUUUCUAUUCCCAUUUCUAAAUAACCAAUGAAUUAAUACAUGCUCAUGGAGUUCAAAUAUUAACUUAGAAUGUGUCUAUAGCAUCCAGCAUACACUGGGCAACUGUAAUAUAUUUGUUCACUUUGCUUAUCCACUUGUUAAACUUCUAUUUCUUACAAACCUCAUGUAUUUGCUUGUGAUGCAAAUACUUAAGUAUCUCCUAUAUAGUAGGAAGUGUGUUAGAUACUGUUUAAGUUUCAGUGAUGAACUAGAAAAUAGUCUCUCAGUGGACUUCAGAAUUAAGUUGGAGGUGAUAAACAUGUAAAUAACAUAAUGUAAGACAUAAAAAAAAUGAUAAACAAAAGUGUCAUAUCACUGCUGUGAAAAGUUAGAAAAAAAAAAGAUCCCAUUAAUUAUGCCUAAGGUAAUUAGCGAUUUUUAAUGGAAGAUGUCACUUUUAAAUUCGACUUUAGGUAGAAUGAGCAUAAUUUUGAUAGAAUGAAUGAAAAGGAACAUUUCAGGUGGGAAAACUAAUUGAUCAUACUGGUGCAACUGAUUAUUUGGGGGCAAAUAGAUCUCUACCUAAUAGCAUUCAACAAAAUAGCUGCAUAAUUUAGAAUAUCAGGUACAUACAUGAAACAUAGAUUAAUUUCCUUUUAAAUUAUAAAUUUCAAGGAUAUUAACUACAAAACUAAAGGACAAACUAACAGUAAGUACCAUGUAUAUCCAAACUGUUUUUACCUUUAGUAUAUAAAAGGCUUUUAUAGAUCAGUGGAAAAAUAUAGUCAUCCCAAUAGAAAUCUGGAAAAGGAAAUUGAAUAGACAUAAAAUGAAUAUAUUGAAGUUAAUAAUAAAAGUGUAAAAAUAUACAGUGUCACCAACAAUGAGAUGAGUUUGAAGAAAAAGAAAUGUAAUAUAGCAACAUAGCAAUGUUUUCCCCCUUAAAUUAGAGACUAUUUUAAGUGAUGACAUCCAGGGUUGUUUUUAACUUAGAAAAUAAGCAUGUCCACCUGCUAUAGGAAGAAUAUAAUUGAUUAUAGCUGGUUGGAGGCCCUUUGCCAAUAUUUAUUUGAAAUUUUUCUUUUACUCACACAUUUUAGCUAGUAAUUCAUAAUUAAAUAAUUCAUAACAUGCAGGAAUCAACAAGAGCACUGCUGUGAUCAUUAUAGUAUGGAACAUUUGCAAAUUCAUUAAUCCAUGUAUCAGAGACUCAUAUAAAUAUCCUUUGAAACUUUUUAGUAUGCAGUACUAUACAGUUCUUAAAAAGUAUGUUACUAUCAAACUAUAUGAUGACAUAAAAUAGUCAAACGAUUUUAUUUGGCAAAAAUACUUUAUAAAACGAUAUUAUUACAUUAAAUACACACGUUGACAAAAAGUAAAAGUUAGAAUGGCUACAGUAACACAUGUUAUCUCUACCUGUUAAAGAUACUGUUUUUUGCUAUUAUAUAUAUUUGUCCAUAUUUUAAAAAUUUGAUGAGAAUUAUAAUUUACAUUGUAAUAAUACAAAACCUUAAAGUAUAUCCUUUGCAUUUAGAAACCUGUCUUAGCUACCAGCACAUAAUUGGCUGUAUAAGUAAUACUAUGUGUACCUGCUAUUCAGCAGAGGAAGCCCCUGUUUCAGUUGGCCUCCUUGGGAAGAGGGCUAAUAGGAUAUAACUGUUCAGGGGUAUAAUUCUUGGCUUCAGAAGUCACCUAGAAAAACUUGUUAAUUCUUAGCUGUGUACUUCUUUGUGAUUUACUCAGAAUAGACUUCACUGAGGAAAUAAUUGGUUAUUUAGCUAAUCAUUGUCAGGCACCUGGCUGCUUCUCCUUCUGUCUGGAGCCCAGAACAUGCUCGUAUCCAGAUACCCAUGUUUAUGGGGAGUGUGGGCUGCAAUUUUCUGGGCCAUGAUGUUUUGCUUUGAGUUCCCCACAUGGGACAAAGUUGGAUGAUCUUGUUAAUUCUGAGUGUUUUCAGUCACAUUCUGAAACUGGAUGAGGUGGGGAUGGGUUGGGAAUGGUUAUUAUGAAAACUGACCAGAAUCUCUUUUCUCUCCUACUGUAGAAUAGACACAUUUAUAAAGCUACUGGAAAGUAGAAAAUAAUUGCACGCUAUUACAAAGUCAUUGUAUUUGAUCUGAUAUCGGUUAUAGGAUCCCCUCCUUAUAUUAAUAAUAGUCAGAACACCAUUUGUGAGUGAUAAUAAUAUGUAAAAUGUCUAGAAGGUUCAGGAGCCUUAUUUUGGUUGUAGAAUGAAAUUCAUUGUAGCUUGUUUCCCAGUGAGUAAACUUUAUCCCCUCAAUAUACAAUAUCAAGGGGAAUAUUUCCCAAAGGUCAUUUGUGACUGUAAAUAACCCUCAAUAUUUAUCUAAACCUCUUCCCCAACAAGGGGAAGCCCGAGACACUAGGUUAAGAGCAGAACAACAGACUGCACAUCUCCAUGUACAGAGUGAUUCUAAGCUAAGCAGAUAACUCAAGGCAGAUUUUAGUUUGAGGUAGAAUUGAGGCAAAAAGAUAAAAGGACACAUCUAUGCACAUAUAAUAGCAAGAUGAUCAAAGCGAGAAAAGCAGAGUCUAAGAGAUGUUGGUACUACCACUUGUGUCUCCUAUAGAACGUACUUGGCUUCAGAUAAUACAUGGGGAUAUAUGGGAAGAACAGCAGAAUAUCCCAGAUAAUACAGUGUGGACCUAUGGGAGACAGGGAAUCAAUACGGAUUCAUUGAAAAGAUUCUAUUUUAAUACUUAAUUUAGGAAUUAUAAAUAUAAAGGAUAUAUACAUUUGCUUGGGGACUGUUUAUAUAUUUGGUGUUGAGCUAGGUAAAAUUUGGGUAAGUACUUCUACAAUGAUAACAUAGGGCUGGCCUAACAAGAAGGAAGGCUGGAAAUUACAGUACUGUUCUGCCACCCUUUCAAACAUCUGUUAAGAAACCCCCAUGCUCCGGACUUUAAGUAUUGCUUCCAGAGUGCUACCUAUUUGGGAAAACAGGUUCUAUAUAUGGAGAAACAAGAUGGGGAUGGCAAGGAGAUACAAAAAGCAGAUCUUGUUACAAGGAAGUAUAUAAUAAAUAGUGCCUAGAUAGUACACGAUGAUAUAUUAGGGCAUGUAGCUGUACUGGGGAUCUUUGAGUUUUAAUCACUAAAAAUGGAAUGUUUGGAACAAAGCACCAAGGAACACAGUGAUGAUAUUUUGUGGGUGACAAUACAUUUGAGGAGAUGAGCCAACAUUACUCUCUAAAACAAAAUGAAGAGGUGCUCUGUUAAACAGCACCAGCAAUGUAUAGUCUAAAUCAGAACUCACAAGUUGAGGGGAAAUGCCCUAGUCAGGCCCCCAUGAUGUAUAGCAUAGAUUAAUAGAGUGUGGUAUGUAUAGAUUAAUAAAAAAUAAACAGUAUUAAGACACUAUUGUAUAUGCUGGGAAGAGGCAAUGUAAAGAGAUAAAACUAGAGAAGGCAGAUUCCUUCCCAUCAUGUCUAAAAAAUAUUAAUUUUAUGUGCUAAAGGGAAAGAGCAGUCAAAGUGUGUAGGGUGAGUGGAGGUGGGUCCCCCACUUGAAUGUGGUAGCCUAUACUAAAGAGUUGGCAUUUGAGUAGAAGGCUGAAGAAGAUGCAGAAGUCAUAUAUCCAGAAACAUUUUCAACAUUUUCAUUAGAGGGAACAGGAAAAAGAAAUUCUUCAAACAGGAUUAGGCCUGUGGUUUUUGAUCAACGAGGAGGUUGAUGUGGUUAUGGCAGAAUGAGCAAGGAGAAGGGCUGCUGAAAUAAAGCCUGAGAGUAAAGGGGAUGGAACAGAUAAUCCAAGUCUCUCUUAGAAAUCUGGCUGUGACUCUGAACAAGCCAGGAAGUCACUAGAGUGUUCCUAGCAGAGACAUGACAUAACCUGACAGGAGAGCUCUGACUGCUGUACUUAAAACAGGUCAUUGGGAGCAAGGACAAAGCCAGAGGCAAGGAGAUCUAGCCAGAUUAUUACAAUUAUCCAAGUAAGAGAAAUGGUUGCUUGGAACAGGAUGUCUGUAGCAGAGGGGGAAAGAAGUGGUCAGAUUCAUAAUAGUACUAUACAGGACUGGAGAGGAUUGAUGAAGUAAUUGACUAUAGAGCGUAAUGGAGAUAAAGGAAUCAACAGUGAUUCUACAAUUUGGAGCCCGAAUAACUGAAAGAAUGAAGUUCUUGACUCAGAUGGGAAUUGAAGUUACGGAAGAAAACUGGUGGGUGUGAAAUAAAAUUUUGUUUUAGGCACGUUAAAUGUAAAAUGUCUAUUGAAUGUCUAAGUUUAGCUGUUGCAUAGGUAGCAGGCUAUGACAGAUAACUCACCAAUGAAACCUGUUUAUCAAACAAAGAUGAAUUAUUUUAAAAACCACUGUAGCAAGUGAGAAUAGCACUUAGAUAAGGUCUUAUUUCUUUCAAAAUGGGGUCAUUAAGAAGGGCAAUUACUGAGCCUAUAAGUCUAGACUUGAAUGGAUUAAAGUGGGUAUUUUGAGUGGUUGUGUUUGGGAACCCUCCAAAUUAAUACUUAUUUGUUUUCAGUCUUGACAUUUGAUCAAGUACUACAAAUCUUGGGAUAUUUUGGUUGCCACCACAUAUUGAUAUAGUGAGCUAUCAGUUUAAUAAUUUGCAGACUUUGUGAAAUAAAAUACUCAGUUAUUUGUUUAGUUUUGCUAAUUUCAAAAGUUUACAAACAUAUACUUUCAUUUUAAACAGCUUUAAUAAGGUUAUUACUGAUGUUUUUAAGAUAUAUAACUCGAUAUUUGAAAUACAUGUACAUUAUGAAAUAAUC